AGCGAACGCUGGCGGCAGGCUUAACACAUGCAAGUCGAGCGGGCCCUUCGGGGUCAGCGGCCGACGGGUGAGUAACACGUGGGAACGUACCCUUUGGUUCGGAAUAACGCUGGGAAACUAGCGCUAAUACCGGAUACGCCCUUUUGGGGAAAGGCUUGCUGCCGAAGGAUCGGCCCGCGUCUGAUUAGCUAGUUGGUGGGGUAAUGGCCUACCAAGGCGACGAUCAGUAGCUGGUCUGAGAGGAUGAUCAGCCACACUGGGACUGAGACACGGCCCAGACUCCUACGGGAGGCAGCAGUGGGGAAUAUUGGACAAUGGGCGCAAGCCUGAUCCAGCCAUGCCGCGUGAGUGAUGAAGGCCUUAGGGUUGUAAAGCUCUUUUGUCCGGGACGAUAAUGGCGGUACCGGAAGAAUAAGCCCCGGCUAACUUCGUG
This 433-nucleotide ribosomal RNA is filed under the name uncultured bacterium. Its description in RNAcentral is "partial 16S ribosomal RNA". It matches the Rfam family "Bacterial small subunit ribosomal RNA", at positions 29 to 507 of the family's 1533-position model. The record is from RNAcentral.